UUAUUCCAGUCACUUCCUCCCUCCCUCCUUUCCUUCCCCCCUUCUCCAGUUUGAGGAAGCUUGUCAGGGCUAGGCUGAUCCCAUGGGAGGUUGGUAAGAAGAGAGGAACUGCAUUGUUGGUGGGACUGGCCGGAGUUCCCUGCUUCUGCCCCAGUGAGGCUCCUGCCAGCAGGGAAUGAGGUGGCGUGAUGGUGACAGUGAGAGAGCUACACCUUCAACAUGGGAAUUCUCCGCUGAUAGCGAAGAAGUGUUAAACAGAAAGAUUGAGAAUGAACUCAAAACCAAGAACCUUAUUCAGCAUCAUCUUAUGACAGGGAAUUUUCAGAGCAAACCGGAGGCGCUGGUGUCAGAAGAGAGCCAAGGCUUUCAGCUGAAACAUUGGGAAGGUGUUUGUAAGUAACCUGUCUUUUCCACAGAGUCUAAUAUGUUGUCACUGUCUACCUGGAAAACUAUGAGAACUUUCUUUUCUCACCCCUAUAAGAUGCAUCUUCUGCAUUUGUUACAAUACAAAGGUUAUACAAAACCUUCAAUCUUCUUUAGAG
This 542-nucleotide long non-coding RNA is filed under the name Calidris pugnax (ruff). RNAcentral describes it as "lncRNA (ENSCPUG00000006712.1)". Lineage: Eukaryota; Metazoa; Chordata; Aves; Charadriiformes; Scolopacidae. The record is from RNAcentral.